Molecule: long non-coding RNA, 2790 nt
Filed under: Numida meleagris (helmeted guineafowl)
Lineage: Eukaryota; Metazoa; Chordata; Aves; Galliformes; Numididae
Description: lncRNA (ENSNMEG00000016847.1)
Source: RNAcentral
AUUAAAAAGUACAGAAGCCGCUGUGAGGGGGCAGCUCGGAACCGUCGGGGGGAGCCAGCGAGAGGGCGGCCUGGCAGCGCCGGGCCGGGCCGAGUGGUUGUGAAGGGGCGGUGUUGCAGGGGGCGGCGCGGUGCGGGGCGGCACGGCGCCGCUGGCCGAUGGGGGAUUGCAGGGCUAAGGGAGCGCCGCCGGGCCGCCGCGCCCAGACGUACCGGCAGCGACGCAGGUGGGUGCUGCGGCGGGGCGGCGGCGGCAGCGGCAGCGGCAGCGGCAGCGGCGCGGGCGAGCGAGCGGCGGACAUCGCUGGUCCCAGGGCGCUGCGUGCAGCCCCGAGGUGGUCGGGGGUCGCCGAGCAGGUGUGCAGCUGUGGUGUGGUUCUUCUCCAUCCCUCCCCAUACUGAUGUCUUCCUGGAUUGGGACCAGGCUAGGGUCAUCAAGGUGAGCAAGGAGCUGCUAGGCAUGGGUGGCCCAUGUAGUACAGGCAGGAGGGGAACUACUCCUUCCCCCAGAAGCAGGUUGUGUCAGAUGAAUCCCACUGUGAAACCACAGCCAAAGGUAUCUGCUGUGCUGGCAGCUGAGGGCUGGGCUUGCUGUUGCUGGACUCAAACAUGGCUCUUCCAGGGCUCCUGGCAGGACUGGUGUAGCAGCAUGGUGCUUGCUCUGCAGCAGCACAAAACCCCCUUGCACAAGUGCUGGCACACUGUGCAGUUACCAUGGUCCUGGCAGUGGCAGUGCUGCCAUUACCUGCUGCAGCUCCAGGCCAGCAGUCUGCAUAAAAUGUCCAAAUGAACUUCUGGUGUCCCUCAGAGCUGAGCUAUAAUCUUGCAAAAAGUGUUUGGGUUGGUUUUUGGGGUGAAGGCAGAAGGGUGGGGGGUUGGUGGUUUCUUAUUAUUGUUCUUAUUGAAGACUUACAUUUCUUGCGGGAUUUUAUGUUUGCUUUUAAGGAUGGGUGAAGCUAUACUUAUCUGAAAUCGCUUGCUGAGUGGGGCUAAGAGAGUGCUGCUCCCUCCUGCCUGUUGCUGCAGCCUUUCCUUGAUGAGGGUUAUUCCUAGUUCUCUUCAUUUGCACAAUCACACAUACAGUCUCUUCCUGACUUGUUUCGGUCAGUAAUGCUGGUUGCAUUAGCAAUUAUAUAGUAGCCAGGUAAGCGCUUCGCUAACAAAACCAAAUAUUUUACAGUAGCACCUUUACACUAAUAUAAAAGUUAGAUCUGAGCUUACUCUUACUGAAACAUCUCCCAGACUGCCAAGAAAUGAGUACUUGCUUCACAGACAAGUACUAAGAGAAUUGCAAGCAUAAACAAGAAGAAGCUUAUUGUUAAGUCUGUUCAGUGGCAGCAGUGCGUCUGUGAGAGAAAUCUGACUGCAGGGAAAAACUCCACCUAAAAAUAAGAGCCAUGUUAACCUGUAAAUGUUCACAUAUCUCUCUCUCUGGUAUAAAGGAAAUGCAGGUUUUGUUUGUUUUGAGCUCAAAACAAUAGAGGGAUUGCAUCCAGCUAGGUAUAGAUGAGCAUUCUUAAACAAGUUAUUUACCUUGUAUUCAGUUGUGUAAGAAGAUCUUCAUAGUAAGCUUUAUUCUUUGGAAGUCGUAGGAGGUGAAGAUCACAAUGGUAGCUUUCAGUUAAGGCUCUGGCUCCUUGCGUCAUGUAGAACAGGGGCAGUCCUUAUUGUGCAUGUUACUCGAUAAUGCUUGUGUUCCUACAUACCCUGAGAAUACGAUAAAGUAGCAAUGUUAACUCUCAUUCUAAAGAAGCAAUUUCCAGCUUCUGACAGCUAAAAAUUCACAGUUAAAAAAUGCUUCAUUUUUAACUUGGUAAGCAUAGUACAGUAGUUUAAGGCUAACCAGUAUUACAAGCUUCAUCCUAAGGAAAUACAUACUUGAUAGAGGUUAUGGAGACUAUCACACAGUUGGUCUCAUUCCUUUAUUAAUUUCAUUUGUUAUGAAUAUUGUUUUUGUUGGAUCAGAUCUACCAGUCAGAACUGGAAGGAUGUCAAGUAAGCAAGUGUGUAGUAAGUUAUAAGGCAUGCUAAAAGUUACUCUGAACUGUUUGAUGCUAAAUCACAAUCUAAAAGUGGUAAUUGUGGAAUUCCCCCUUUUUUUCAAUUUUUUUCUUUUUUUUUUUGGUUUAAUUAAAAUUCAAAGUAUGAGACCUAGUGCUCAGACAGUACCAUUGCACAUUUCCAGAUGCAAUUGUACACAGUUUCACUUAGCUACUUACAUUAAGAGUUUAAAUUUUAGUUCUUCCAGUCUGACUUCAGUAUGCACCUAAAACAGACUUGGAACAAACAUCCUCCUUCCAGGUUAUAGUACUGCCUGAAAAUAUUGCUGAUCCUUAUUGCUGUGCUAGACAUUUGUGCGGUGGUCUGCACCCUCCAUCCACCUUCUCCACCUGGAUCAAUUCCCCUAGUCAGUUAGCAGUGUGGGCACAACGGUGGACCCAAAGCAUAGUGCAUCUCAAUGGCAUUGUUGCUGUCAAAAAGCUCCAUAAUAUCGGAUCUCAAAUUUUUACACAUACACGUUGAGUUAAAAUCAAGUUGAAAUCCACGGUUUGAGAAAUUAAAAGCUAAAGUAGUACUGGGGUAACAUAAAGAUAAAAGGAAAAGAAGAAAGAUCUUAAUGCUGAGCAGCCUGUAGUAACGCUGUGAAGGGGAUUCAGUUCACUCUUCCUUAAUCAAAUGUUCUCAUCAAUUAUUCUGGGGAGCAAUUACUCUUAGAGCUGGACAAAAAAAGUCAGAGCACAAAAAAAUGUAUUGAAAGUAAUAAAACUGAAAGGAGCUAUGUAUCUGUCCA